UAGCUUAUAUUUGGUCAUAGUCCUUUGUUCUUUUCCGAUUCUGUGGUGGGAUCGUUCCUUUUGAUCACUUUGGCUGAUAGUGUUCUUUUGGGUGAGCAGGAGAAUUAAUCUCAAUAUCGACACCAAAAUUCUCCAAAUGCUGGAACUUACUAGCGGUGUUCUUCGAGGAUGAAUCUUCCAGCUGAAUUUGCUAGGCUACCUUUUGGGUUUUUUGAUGCGGUCCGCCCGUGAUGGGUAUGAUCUGGUCCAGUUCCACAAUCUAAGGAAAGUGGAGGGAGCAACCACUCCAUCCAACUCCCCGCUCUCCGAAGCUGAGAAGAGCUCCUCCUCCAUUCUUGGAAUUGAGUUCUGUCCGUGUAUGAGAGAGAGAAGAGGAAGAGAAAACGUGGUGGCUACGAUCUCACUCUCUUCCCCUUUUCCAUGGAAGAUGAAGGAUGAACAGUGCUCUCUUUAGAUUCCUCCCAUUAAACUACGAGCUCGCUGGAUUUUCUGUUCGCGAGACCGUAUAUAGGUUAAGAUGGCCGCCCUUGCAGUCAACGAGAGGCGCGUCAGUUUUUCCACAUUUGAGUUGUGGGCAUACGUGGCCACUCCGCAUGAGGACUGUCUUCCAUGGAGCUCUCUCACACGACAAGAUCCUGGGGAAGGGAAGCAAAGUCCCUGAUCUAAAUGGGCGAAAUUUACUGCGGGUGACAUGCCAAAUGAGCUCUUAGUCUCAUUAGACGAUGGUUCUCUUUUCAUGUUGUAGCUGGAAGAAGAGGAGUAACUUGACCAGGUCCACCAGGACAUCAUGCUGCAUUCUUUUUUUUAUUGGUUAGUUGAUUUUUAGCUGAGUGAAUGAAACUAACCACUACCCCUGGUUUGACGAUUUGUCUGUCGUGUGUCAUAAUAAAUCAUCCGUUGUACUUGCAACAUCAUCAACCCCUGGUGAUUGCUUUUGGGCUGUAAUCCAGUGUGAUGAAGAAAACCUACUUUUUUGUUUUUAGCUGAACUAUUAUCAAUUUUGUAGUCAGGCAUGUGGGCAUCACUAGAGUCUGGAAAAUAUGUCUAUUUCUUUGGCGGUCUUGUCUUAGCUUGCUGACAUUCUGUGCCAAUAAUAGUGCUGUAAGGAUCAAGCCAUCUUUGCUUGUUGGGAAUUCGGUCUGGAAGGUAGGGCCAAUUUCUUCCGUCAGAAUGCAAGAAUAUGACUGGAUAGUAUCUUUGGUGAUCAAACAUUCCAGUCAGCAGUCUCUUCAAGAUUAUUUUUUUAUUUCAUGCAAAGUGUAAGAACAAAGCGGUUAACUUGUUUGAUGAUGAAAUGUUCAUUGGCAUAAUAUUCUAUUCAUGA
Nymphaea colorata (pocket water lily) is the source of this 1324-nucleotide long non-coding RNA. RefSeq lists it as uncharacterized. The transcript is spliced from 2 exons. The record is from RefSeq and is a predicted model, not a curated record. Lineage: Eukaryota; Viridiplantae; Streptophyta; Magnoliopsida; Nymphaeales; Nymphaeaceae.